AUACGUAGGGUGCAAGCGUUAAUCGGAAUUACUGGGCGUAAAGCGUGCGCAGGCGGUUUUUUAAGACAGUGGUGAAAUCCCCGGGCUCAACCUGAGAACUGCCCUUGUGACUGCACGGCUGGAGUGCGGCAGAGGGGGCUGGAAUUCCGCGGGUAGCAGUGAAAUGCGUAGAUAUGCGGAGGAACACCGAUGGCGAAGGCAAUCCCCUGGGCCUGCACUGACGCUCAUGCACGAAAGCGUGGGGAGCAAACAGGAUUAGAUACCCUGGUAGUCCACGCCCUAAACGAUGUCAACUGGUUGUUGGGGAUUUAUUUUCUCAGUAACGAAGCUAACGCGUGAAGUUGACCGCCUGGGGAGUACGGCCGCAAGGUUAAAACUCAAAUGAAUUGACGGGG
RNAcentral lists this ribosomal RNA (395 nucleotides) under uncultured bacterium. RNAcentral's name for it is "partial 16S ribosomal RNA". It matches the Rfam family "Bacterial small subunit ribosomal RNA", at positions 523 to 918 of the family's 1533-position model. The record is from RNAcentral.